Molecule: ribosomal RNA, 765 nt
Filed under: Triticum aestivum (bread wheat)
Lineage: Eukaryota; Viridiplantae; Streptophyta; Magnoliopsida; Poales; Poaceae
Description: partial small subunit ribosomal RNA
Source: RNAcentral
AUGCCUCUUCAGCAGCAAGAUCAUGCUCUUGAAUCAACUCUCACAAUAAGAUUUGAACAAAACCUCCCCAAGAUCACUCAAUUCUAUAGGCAAAGAGCCAAAAAACACUGGGCAAGAGACGGCGAUAGAAAUACCUAUUAUUUUCAUCGUGUUGUCCUCAAGAGAAGGAAAAGAAAUACUAUUGUUUCUAUUAAACAAAAAGAUGUUAUUAUCCAUUUUAAACCUAAGCAGAUUGCAAACACUUCUGUUAACUACUUUAGAUACAUCUUCUCGCCCUUCUUAGCUUCAAAUCAUCUUGCUUUGUCUAAUGAUUUCACUUAUUUUAUACCGGAUAAGAAGGAAAUUUUGCGGACACUCAAGGGCAUGAAAUUAAAUGCUUCACCGGUGUCGGAUGGUUUUAAUCUCGAGUUCUAUCUUGCUACAUGGGACUGGAUAGGUGAGGAUGUCGCUACUCUGGUAAGAUUUUUUUAUCAAACAAGCAUUCUACCUCCUCACAUUAGUGAUACAAAUAUUGCACUUAUUCCUUAGAAGCUGGUGCCUCAACUUCCUAGCGAUUAUAGACCUAUUAGUCUUUGUAAUGUUAUCUACACAAUCAUUGCUAAAACUCUUGCUAAUAAACUUAAACACCAUCUCCCAGAUUACAUUGAUCCGAUGCAACAAGCUUUUAUCAAAGGUAGAAGAAUGAGUGAUAACAUUAUUAUAGGUCAAGAAAUCACCCACUCUUUUGCACUCAGAUCCUGGAACCAUGAGGCCAUCUUUACUUAA